RNAcentral lists this ribosomal RNA (229 nucleotides) under uncultured bacterium. RNAcentral describes it as "partial 16S ribosomal RNA". It matches the Rfam family "Bacterial small subunit ribosomal RNA", at positions 568 to 796 of the family's 1533-position model. The record is from RNAcentral.
UGCGUAGGCGGAAUUUUAAGUCAGUGGUGAAAUCCUGCAGCUCAACUGUAGAACUGCCAUUGAUACUGAUCUUCUUGAACUUAGUUGAGGUGGGCGGAACGUGUAAUGUAGCGGUGAAAUGCUUAGAUAUUACACAGAACACCGAUUGCGAAGGCAGCUCACUAAACUAACAUUGACGCUGAGGCACGAAAGCGUGGGUAGCGAACAGGAUUAGAUACCCUGGUAGUCC